AGUGGCGGACGGGUGAGUAACGCGUGGGCAACCUGCCCUGUACCGGGGGACAACAGCCAGAAAUGGCUGCUAAUACCGCAUAAGCCUGCUGUGCCGCAUGGCACAGCAGGGAAAACCACGGUGGUACAGGAUGGGCCCGCGUCUGAUUAGUUAGUUAGCAGGGUAACGGCCUACCAAGACGAUGAUCAGUAGCCGGCUUGAGUGAGUGGACGGCCACAUUGGGACUGAGACACGGCCCAGACUCCUGCGGGAGGCAGCAGUGGGGAAUAUUGCACAAUGGGGGGAACCCUGAUGCAGCAAUGCCGCGUGGGUGAAGAAGCACUCCGGUGCGUAAAGCCCUGUCAGCAGGGAAGAAAAUGACAGUACCUGACCAAGAAGCCCCGGCUAACUACGUGCCAGCAGCCGCGGUAAUACGUAGGGGGCAAGCGUUAUCCGGAUUUACUGGGUGUAAAGGGAGCGCAGGCGGUAUGGCAAGUCAGAUGUGAAAACCCAGGGCUCAACCCUGGGACUGCAUUUGAAACUGCCAUACUGGAGUGCCGGAGAGGUAAGUGGAAUUCCUAGUGUAGCGGUGAAAUGCGUAGAUAUUAGGAGGAACACCAGUGGCGAAGGCGGCUUACUGGACGGUAACUGACGCUGAGGCUCGAAAGCGUGGGGAGCAAACAGGAUUAGAUACCCUGGUAGUCCACGCCGUAAAC
This 695-nucleotide ribosomal RNA is filed under the name uncultured bacterium. Its description in RNAcentral is "bacterial SSU rRNA". It matches the Rfam family "Bacterial small subunit ribosomal RNA", at positions 94 to 807 of the family's 1533-position model. The record is from RNAcentral.